Long non-coding RNA from Eleginops maclovinus (Patagonian blennie), 3308 nucleotides. RefSeq lists it as uncharacterized. NCBI's taxonomy places the organism in Eukaryota, Metazoa, Chordata, Actinopteri, Perciformes, Eleginopidae. The transcript has 3 exons. The record is from RefSeq and is a predicted model, not a curated record.
CCGGCUGCGGUUUACUGCCAACUACCGUCAGUUAACCGCUCAGUCUGGGGUUAUUCUCCAUGUGUUACACAUGUUUACAUUAACAAAUAGCAAGACGUGAUUAAAUAAACAGUUAAUUUUAACUUUCUCCUUCUCCACCCCUCCUUCCCACUCCUCCGAGCCGCUUACCUUUGCUUGUCUCCGGCUGUCAGUGUGGAAGUUUAACCGCUGCUGGUUCCAAAAAAAGACGGUGAAUGACACCCACCACCGGGGUGCUUUUAUACUCCUUCUCCUCCAUACCUCCCGUGGAGAGAGUUUUUUUUCCUCCCUCUCCAGACAGCCGUUAGGAAUGCCGAAGUAUUCGGCAGGAAUUCAACCGGUCGGGCGGCCAUAUUUGGUCUCCUGUGUUGAGGGUGAAGGCGCACCGGGAUGACCAUAUAUGGAGAGGAAGCCCCCGCGAGCCCACCGCUGAGCGCUCGAGCCCGUGUAUGGAGCGAGACCAUGAGGAUGAGGACUACUACUACUACUACUAGGUCGGGACCCCCAGCACAUGGGACAGCUGCAGCCUGAGGAACCAGAGACAGAGACACUAACUAAGCCAACAGACCAGCGGUGUUUAUCCAGCAGUUACUGAGAGGUGUCAGGAUCCACAGAGGCUGUGGUCAUCCAUCCAGAAGAGGACGGUGAUGCAAACUCAACAUUUCUGAACCUUCACUCCCCUGUUAGAGACUGUACUGUGUGCACAUUAUUAUGGGAUUUUUACAAAUACAAUGAUUUUUAAAUGGUAUUUCUUAAUGGCAUACAUUACUAUAUGGCACGCUGAAUACAUUCUUUAGUACGACUUUUAUUAUUCUUAUGAAUUUUAAAACAUUUGUUCAUUACGUUAAAUAACCCAGUAUGAAUAUAUGAAUAAUAUAUAUACAUAUAUAUGACCUGCUUUACUAUAUAUUAUACUAUGUCAUUUAUUUUGAUUUUUUUUAUGACUUCUACUUACUUUUUUAAUGUCACAAAAAUAUUACGAGUGUAAAAAAAACAAAGUUAUGCCAUUUCUUUUGGACAUAUGAUCCUAUGACUAUGACUUAUUUAUGAGAUUUAUUUUUGGACGUAGUGUACUAUGACUUUAUGACUUUUCUAUGACAUGAGAUCUUACAGUGAAAUUUCUUUUUCAAUGACAUACUGUACAAUACUAUACUUUUUAUUCACAUUUAAAUGACUUUCUCAGUGACCCAUAGUAUAUGAAGAAUUUUUAUGACAUACUAAAACACAAGUCUUUUCAAGCCAUUUAUUUAAUGACAUUUAUUACAUUUAAUGACAUUACGAUAUGUGAGGACUGAUGAGCCUCACCUGCCGUUGGGAUUCCCGCAGAACCUUACCUCUCCUUUUGGUGCCGCAGCUGCUGUUUCCUUUUUUUCCAGACACUUUACACCUGCUUCCACACUGAUUACUGAUUAUCUGAGUGUGUACUUUUUGAAGUGAUUAUUCUGUAAAUAAAUAUGUAAGAUAAAUACACAUUUAAAAUAGUAGCAAAUAUAGAAUAUAGAGAAAAAAUGUUUACACGUGAUAAAUGAUUAAUAUACAAAAAGGAAAUGUAUGGAAGUUUAUGUUAAGGUUUUAUGAGCUUUAUAAAUCAAAAUGAAACUGAAAUGAAGUCAGUUUUUAGUCAUUACUCCUGUUUUUGUCAGCUAUCUGCGUGGACAAGAUGGACUUAUGUUUGUCUAUUAAGGAUUACAUUUUUAUGUUAAAGUUAUGUGGGGCUGAUGUCCCUAAUCUAACCUUCUUUCACUAUUUUUAGCUGAGCUGGAGGCUGAGAGGGGAUAAUCACGGAGGAUCCCUGUCAGGAUGGCAGCCAAGAAAUCUAUUUAUAACCAACAUCUGCCGCUCGUCACCAGACAGGAGAAGUCCUGAGUAACGCAGCUCUGACAGGACUGAGUCAUGUUUCUGUCACUCUCUCAGGACAAUGCGCUGAUAUCAGACGUCCUGUUGAAGUGUUAAGGAUUCUUUCUGGAAGGAUUCUGAGAAGAAUACAGAAGUCUAAAUACAGAAAUAACAACAGAUUUAUUUAGAAAAGAGCAAAAACAUAUUCAAACAUAUCAUGAAAAUGAUCAGACUGCAAAGGAAAGCUGAAGAAGGUGUUUCUGAAACCCUCAUCACAUCUGAGCCUCCAGGUAAUGUUCAUAAUUUGCUCGAAGAACAAACUCAAAGUAGGGUUUGGAUUUCAGAGAGCUCAGCUCGUCCAGCUCCAGCACCUCUUUGACGUCGGGCAGGUACGUCUGCAGAGAAACUCCUGCAACAUGAACAGGUGUUUAUCAUGAGGGGAAAUGACUUUUUAAUGGGAAAUAUACACUUUAACACAUGGACACAGGUGUGAGCGUUCCUCACCUUCCUGGAUGAGUUUGAGGAGGACUUUGAUGAAGAUGCUGUCUUUGGCCGCAUCCAGAGGAUCGUCAGUGCCAUCAGCAGAGGACCAGCUGAGAACACAGCAUCACAAUAAAUAAAUUAAACAGCAUGUAAAACUAGAGCAGAGCAAUACUAAAUACCUCCAAAACCAUAUAAAAGAUCUAUCGCACAUAUGGUUUAAAUUGUGAUAAAGAUAAGACGUGUAUUUUUGAUUUGGUUUUUAUAACUUCACAAAGUUCAUCUUGCACUUAAGUUACUCAAAGUAGAAAAUGUUCUGCUUUUUUUUUAUUGUAUACAAAAGUAUGUGUCCCCACAUAAUUAUUAUAUAAAGACUACUCUUGAUGUUAUAACCAGAGACAUGAUAGAGGGCAUUAUAUUGUGAGAGGAAUAACAUGACCAAUAUUUAUGAGUAGAAGAUUUGGCCCAGCUCUAUGUUACAAAUACAUCAGUGCUUUAAUGUUUCUCCUCCAACGUAUUUGUUUCUUUUCAACAUCAAAUCUUCUUAGAUUAAUGUUGAGUAAAAGAGAUGCAAAAUGUUCUAUUAAUCACAUACAAAAUUAAUUUCGAAACCUUCACGACUAGAUAACGUAUGUGGCUCUUACUCGUCUCUCCGCAGCGCUUUGCCGAAGAUCUCACACUUCAACAAGUCAAUGUCCUCAGCUUCCUCCUGCAACACAAACAGAAAAUACACACAGGUUGACUUCAACUUGAAGCCUGUCAGUUCUGAAACAGCAGGAUUAUCUGGAGGUUACCUCGUCGAUGUACUCCAGCAGAUCCAGAGCCUUCUUGAAGUCGUACUCGUUGGCGCGCCUGUUUUCAUCGCAGAUGUACAGCUGAGGAGAGGAGGGAACACUGUCAGCACGGUCAAUAGGACUGAAGUGACUUUUUACAGAAAUAGCUUUAUCUGUAGGAACUAGAUUCUGACACAUGUU